AUCUUGUCGAAAUGUCGGCCAUUGUUAGCUGUACGUCUCAUCUCGUGCAGAAACACUUCAGAGCUAGUAAAGUAAUUUUGUUGGAUCAAUUUCUCUGCAAUAAUGUAAUAGGUUUUAUUAGUUGAUUUUCAUGCCGGAAAUGGAGAUCCCUUUGCUCAACUGUUGCAGAAAUUUAGAACACGACAAAGUCUGAGCUUCAUGGCUGUAGUAUCAUUAAUGUGGUUUUGUUGCAGCCAGCUGGUGAAAGGUGUGAUCGAGUCAUGGUUGAGUUGCAGCUUCUGCAUGCAGUUUAUCGAGCUGGUGCUAUCCCAAGUGUAACUGCAGGAAAACUUCUUGAAUUGUUGAUCGCUACAGAUUUAGUUAAUGACUUGAGAGUAGACCCCUUUGCUUCUCUGUUGCAAUUAUGAGUUAAGACCAUUAUGGAAAUGUGGAUUACAUUUGUUAUUUUCAAGUUGGAAAACUUGACAACUACAAAUUCCUUUGUAAGAUUUAUCAAGCCGGGUGAAGUCUGCGCUUCUUUGUUGCAGUCUAAUGUGCGCAUGGAUUCGCUGCAGUCAUCCAGUGAAAGGUGUGAUUAAAUUGAGCUGUUGCAUGCAGUCUUUGGUGCUGAUGUUGUCCUGGAGUGUGGGAGAGUCCCAUGCUUCAAGUCUUUUGGGAUCAGCUAUAUCUAAGUUGACGCUGGAUCAUGCUGCAUUGUGGUUGCCGAAAUGUUGGACAUCUAGUAGAACUGCAAGAAGACUCCUUGAAAUGGUUUAUGUUUACGUAGCAGUGAUGUUGCUGUCCAAUAUGGCAUAUGUUGUUGCAGCCUAUACUGGUGAAAGAUUUUUUGCAUCGAGUUAUGCUGUUGCUGUUCCUUGGUGCCGGACUGCUGGUGUUGUCCACAAAAGUUACAUCCAUUUUUAAUUGUUAUUUGUGUCCAUGCAGUUAACCGUUUAUAUGUUGAAAAAGGAACAGAAAAGUUCCUUGGUGUUGAAUCGCUGGUGUUGUGCUACAUAAGUUACAUCCAGUAUUUUAUUUAAUUGCUAUUUGCGUCUAUGAAGUUAACCGUUUAUAUGUUGAGAAUGA
Molecule: RNA transcript, 1065 nt
Organism: Daphnia pulex (common water flea)
Lineage: Eukaryota; Metazoa; Arthropoda; Branchiopoda; Diplostraca; Daphniidae
Exons: 4
Source: RefSeq, a predicted model, not a curated record